RNAcentral lists this ribosomal RNA (890 nucleotides) under uncultured Pelagibacterales bacterium. Its description in RNAcentral is "partial 16S ribosomal RNA". The record is from RNAcentral. Lineage: Bacteria; Pseudomonadati; Pseudomonadota; Alphaproteobacteria; Candidatus Pelagibacterales.
UCCAGCASCGCKGUAUAGAAGGACUAGCKUAGUYGGAUUACKGGYUAAAGAGUUGUAGUGGUGAAAAGUUAGUGUGAAUCCCAGAGCUAACUMGGAACUGCCAUUAAACUUUCAGCUWGAGUUGAUAGAGGAAWGCAGAAUUUYUAGUGUAGAGGUGRAAUUCGUAGAUWUWGAAWGAAUACCAAUWGMGAWGGCAGCUUUCUSGAUCAUAACUGACAYUGAGGAACGAAWGCAUGGUAGCGAAGAGGAUUAGAUACCYUCGUGUCCAUGCCGUAAACGAUGUGURUUAGACGUUGGAAAUUAUUUUCAGUGUCGCAGGGAAACCGAUAAACACACCGCCUGGGGAGUACGACCGCAAGGUUAAAACUCAAWUGAAUUGACGGGGACCCGCACAAGUAGUGGAGCAUGUGGUUUAAUUCGAAGAUACGCGCAGAACCUUACCAACACUUGACAUKUUCGUCGCGACUCUAAGAGAUUAGAGUUUUCGGUUCGGCCGGACGAAACACAGGUGCUGCAUGGCWGUCGUCAGCUCGUGUCGUGAGAUGUUGGGUUAAGUCCCGCAACGAGCGCAACCCUCACUUUUAGUUGCCAUCAUUAAGUUGGGCACUCUGAAAGAACUGCCAGUGAUAASCUGGAYGAAGSUGGGGAUGACGUCAAGUCCUCAUGGCCCYUACGUGUUGGGCUACACACGUGCUACAAUGGUAUCUACAACAGGAAGCAAGACUGCGAAGUUAAGCAAAUCCCUAAAAGAUACCUCAGUUCGGAUUGCACUCUGCAACUCGAGUGCAUGAAGCUGKAAUUACUAGUAAUCGUGGAUCAGCGUGCCACGGUGAAUGCGUUCCCGGGUCUUGUACACACCGCCCGUCACACCAUGGGAGUUGGUUCUACCU